UAAGUAUCCCACCUGGGGAGUACGAUCGCAAGGUUGAAACUCAAAGGAAUUGACGGGGGCCCGCACAAGCGGUGGAGUAUGUGGUUUAAUUCGAAGCAACGCGAAGAACCUUACCAGGGCUUGACAUCCCGGCGACCGGCCUAGAGAUAGGCUCUCCCUUCGGGGCGCCGGUGACAGGUGGUGCAUGGUUGUCGUCAGCUCGUGUCGUGAGAUGUUGGGUUAAGUCCCGCAACGAGCGCAACCCCUAUUGUUAGUUGCUACGCAAGAGCACUCUAGCGAGACUGCCGUUGACAAAACGGAGGAAGGUGGGGACGACGUCAAAUCAUCAUGCCCCUUAUGUCCUGGGCUACACACGUACUACAAUGGUGGUAAACAGAGGGAGGCAAAACCGCGAGGUGGAGCAAAUCCCUAAAAGCCAUCCCAGUUCGGAUUGCAGGCUGCAACCCGCCUGCAUGAAGUUGGAAUCGCUAGUAAUCGCGGAUCAGCAUGCCGCGGUGAAU
RNAcentral lists this ribosomal RNA (500 nucleotides) under uncultured bacterium. RNAcentral's name for it is "bacterial SSU rRNA". It matches the Rfam family "Bacterial small subunit ribosomal RNA", at positions 861 to 1367 of the family's 1533-position model. The record is from RNAcentral.